Molecule: long non-coding RNA, 1028 nt
Organism: Cyprinus carpio carpio
Lineage: Eukaryota; Metazoa; Chordata; Actinopteri; Cypriniformes; Cyprinidae
Source: Ensembl
AAUGGUAGUGAAGUUAAAGUGACUGUGGUGUAGAUAAUUUACCUUACGUUUGGCUUUUUACCACUGGUGAUUAUAUUUAGAUUUCUUUUGUCACAGAGUUCAUUCUCUGCAAUAAUCCAUGAAAAAACAAAAACAAAACAAUGGACAAAUCUUGUUGUGUUUUUGGUGAGGGAACCAGGGUGAUGCUAACUUCUAAAAUGACUGCGGCACAAUUUUACUAGAAAAAAAGAAAAAUGACGCACUUCUCCUUUAAGAAUUGUAUUUGGGUAUUAUUUAUACUUUGGUUUUCAAUAGUUCCAGGCGAGAGUGGUGGUAUUAUCAGUAUGCGAGUGUAUGUUCUGCCAGUGUGUGCAUGCCCCAGGCCUGCUAAAAUCUUGUCACAUGCUGUCUUCCUCUUCCUUUCCGAAGUCUGUUACACCUCUCUCCUUCCAUUCGCCCCCUCUCUCCCUCUCUCUCUAUCUCUCCAUCCUAUCUCUCUGCCGCUGUGGCAGGACCGAUUGUUGCUCAGUGACAAGCACAGCUUUAACAUUUCAGCAGAGAAGAAUCAGGUGGCAGUUUCAUAUACCCCUCUCUCUGUCUUCCUUUCUCUCUGGGAUGUGCCACGUUCAGUUCCCCUAUACCUGACACUGCUGAUAUUCUUACUCCCUCUUUUUCUCCAUCUCUCCAUCUCAUUCUGCCUAUCUCUCUGUUUCUCAGCCCUGUCUCACAUUUCCUGCCUUAAUUGGAAGGAGAAAGUUUUGCAGAGUCUGACGACUUGUAUGACGAAGGCCAGGAUUGGCUCUGGAGGAGCGGGCACUGGAGGGCACUCUGAAGGAGCAGAGCUGGCUGACGAAGGAGCUUUGGGCGGACCUUUCUGGGAUUCAGAAUAUGCAGAAAAGCUGUCUGGGACCAGCUGGGACUCAGGAGACGAAGGGGAACUGGAUGGGACCAGCAGAGAUGAGGAGACGAUGGAGGACUGGACAGGACCAGCAGAGAAGAAUGAGACUCAGGAGGGCUGGAUGGGACCAGCGGAGCUGAAGGAGAACUAG